This 713-nucleotide long non-coding RNA is filed under the name Brassica napus (rape). RNAcentral's name for it is "long non-coding RNA (BNAP_LNC019877)". Lineage: Eukaryota; Viridiplantae; Streptophyta; Magnoliopsida; Brassicales; Brassicaceae. The record is from RNAcentral.
AAGAUCCAACCAACACUCAGUCCGCGACGCAUAGAAGACGCCUCGCUACCAGCCGUUCCAUCAAGACACGGCCAUUACCAUUGUCGGAACAGAACUAAGACUCGAUCUGAGUCUUAACCGUCAGAAUCGCAUUCCAGCACCAAACUUCCGAUAACCGCCUCAGAUACUGUUACCCUUGAUCCAUAACCAGUAGCUAAUCUUACCAUGAUCAGACAGUACAUCAAUCGGUCCAUACAACUCUCGUUUCGACAGUAACCACACGGCCAUCCAGUCCCUCAGUCACACACAGCACGCUCCAGUUCAGCAUAUCCUAACCGCUGACUGAGCAGUUCUUCUACAUGAUCCAGAAUCUGUAUCCAGACAUCACACCAGUCCAUCAUAGCCCCGACCGAUUCCCUUUCCUGGAUCACACUAACCAUGCCGAUACACAGUCCCAAUCGCAUCCCAUCAAGACGCUCACCAUCAGUACAUGGCUCCACCGCACAUAGACUUAGUCGAUACAACCCUUCCCAUGGCUUGUCCUUAAUUCUGCACCAGAAGGAACAACAGACGCCGCGAUCAUUCUUCAUAAAUGAUCGCCCCCCUCAUGGAACCAGAACCAGACGCGCAUCCGUACAUCCGCAAGGCCACCGCUCGACUUUAGGAACAGUCUGGAAGGAUCCGAUCAGUCCUACUCGGCGAUCUCAGACUCUCUCCCGGUCCUCUCUAUCUUU